AACUAUUGGCCAAAGUAAACAUUUGGUCAACCUUCCCAAUUUUGUAAUUUUUCAUAUUUUGGACAUUUUAUAACUAUGUAAUGAAUGAACUUGAUAUGUUUUGAAUGAAUUGGAUUGAAAAUGGAUUGAAAGUGGUUUUCAUAUUGGUUUUUUUUGUACAUGUAUGCUUGAAUUUGAAAUGAAAUGAAAUGAACAUGACUUGUAAAUGGAAUAGUUUAUGAACAAGGAUUUUGGCUUGAUGAACAAGGAUAAAAUUUUAAUGAACCACUAACCAAUG
RNAcentral lists this long non-coding RNA (277 nucleotides) under Lathyrus oleraceus (garden pea). RNAcentral's name for it is "Pisum sativum (pea) long non-coding RNA (PSAT_LNC029981)". The record is from RNAcentral. Lineage: Eukaryota; Viridiplantae; Streptophyta; Magnoliopsida; Fabales; Fabaceae.